GACGAACGCUGGCGGCGUGCUUAACACAUGCAAGUCGAGCGGUAAGGCCCUUUCGGGGGUACACGAGCGGCGAACGGGUGAGUAACACGUGGGUGACCUGCCCUCAGCUCUGGGAUAAGCCUGGGAAACCGGGUCUAAUACUGGAUAUGACUCCAUGACGCAUGUUGUGGGGUGGAAAGCCUUGUGCGGCUGAGGAUGGGCCCGCGGCCUAUCAGCUUGUUGGUGGGGUGANGGCCUACCAAGGCGACGACGGGUAGCCGGCCUGAGAGGGCGACCGGUCACACUGGGACUGAGACACGGCCCAGACUCCUACGGGAGGCAGCAGUGGGGAAUCUUGCGCAAUGGGCGAAAGCCUGACGCAGCGACGCCGCGUGAGGGAUGACGGCCUGGU
RNAcentral lists this ribosomal RNA (391 nucleotides) under uncultured bacterium. RNAcentral describes it as "bacterial SSU rRNA". It matches the Rfam family "Bacterial small subunit ribosomal RNA", at positions 28 to 420 of the family's 1533-position model. The record is from RNAcentral.